This 484-nucleotide ribosomal RNA is filed under the name uncultured bacterium. Its description in RNAcentral is "partial 16S ribosomal RNA". It matches the Rfam family "Bacterial small subunit ribosomal RNA", at positions 30 to 507 of the family's 1533-position model. The record is from RNAcentral.
AUUGAACGCUGGCGGCAGGCCUAACACAUGCAAGUCGAGCGGAUGAAGGGAGCUUGCUCCUGGAUUCAGCGGCGGACGGGUGAGUAAUGCCUAGGAAUCUGCCUGGUAGUGGGGGAUAACGUCCGGAAACGGGCGCUAAUACCGCAUACGUCCUGAGGGAGAAAGUGGGGGAUCUUCGGACCUCACGCUAUCAGAUGAGCCUAGGUCGGAUUAGCUAGUUGGUGGGGUAAAGGCCUACCAAGGCGACGAUCCGUAACUGGUCUGAGAGGAUGAUCAGUCACACUGGAACUGAGACACGGUCCAGACUCCUACGGGAGGCAGCAGUGGGGAAUAUUGGACCAUGGGCGAAAGCCUGAGCCAGCCAUGCCGCGUGUGUGAAGAAGGUCUUCGGAUUCUAAAGCACUUUAAGUUGGGAGGAAGGGCAGUAAGUUAAUACCUUGCUGUAUUGACGUUACCAACAGAAUAAGCACCGGCUAACUUCGUG